RNAcentral lists this ribosomal RNA (204 nucleotides) under Triticum aestivum (bread wheat). RNAcentral's name for it is "partial small subunit ribosomal RNA". Lineage: Eukaryota; Viridiplantae; Streptophyta; Magnoliopsida; Poales; Poaceae. The record is from RNAcentral.
AUGUCAAGUAACAUUCCAAGAGUCGAGGAGUUUUUCCUAGAGUUUUUAAAGGUUCAUGAUACAUCAGGAUUAGGGCUUUUUAAUGUGUUGAUGGAUACAUUGGACUCUCUUGAUCUGGACGUUGCUGAUGUAAGAGGGCAAGGUUAUGAAAAUGGUUCUAACAUGAAGGGGAAAAAAUCAAGGUGUUCAGAAUCGCUUGCUUGA